This 255-nucleotide ribosomal RNA is filed under the name uncultured bacterium. RNAcentral's name for it is "partial 16S ribosomal RNA". It matches the Rfam family "Bacterial small subunit ribosomal RNA", at positions 524 to 776 of the family's 1533-position model. The record is from RNAcentral.
UACGUAGGGUGCGAGCGUUAAUCGGAAUUACUGGGCGUAAAGCGUGCGCAGGCGGUUCGUUGUGUCGGUGGUGAAAUCCCCGGGCUUAACCUGGGAAUGGCCAUGGAAACUGGCGAACUGGAGUGCGGCAGAGGGGGGUGGAAUUCCGCGGUGUAGCAGUGAAAUGCGUAGAGAUGCGGAGGAACACCGAUGGCGAAGGCAGCCCCCUGGGCUAACACUGACGCCUCAGGCACGAAAGCGUGGGGAGCAAACAGG